GGUGGUAAAUGCCAUCUAAAGCUAAAUAUUGGCGAGAGACCGAUAGCGAACAAGUACCGUGAGGGAAAGAUGAAAAGAACUUUGGAAAGAGAGUUAAACAGUACGUGAAAUUGCUGAAAGGGAAACGCUUGAAGUCAGUCACGUUGACUUGAAAUCAGCUCUGCUUUUGCUGGGUGUACUUUCUUGUCAAUGGGUCAGCAUCAAUUUUGACCAUUGGAUAAAGUUGUUGGGAAUGUAGCAUCCUUUUGGAUGUGUUAUAGCCUUGCGAUGCAUACAGUGGUUGGGAUUGAGGAAUUCAGCAUGCCGCAAGGCCGGGUUUUGCCACCACGUUCAUGCUUAGGAUGCUGGCAUAAUGGCUUUAAUUGACCCGUCUUGAAACACGGACCAAGGAGUCUAACAUAUCUGCGAGUGUUUGGGUGGAAAACCCAUGUGCGUAAUGAAAGUGAAAGUUGAGAUCCCAUCUGGGAGCAUCGACGCCCGGACCAGACCUUUUGUGACGGAUCCGCGGUAGAGCAUGUAUGUUGGGACCCGAAAGAUGGUGAACUAUGCCUGAAUAGGGUGAAGCCAGAGGAAACUCUGGUGGAGGCUCGUAGCGAUUCUGACGUGCAAAUCGAUCGUCAAAUUUGGGUAUAGGGGCG
This 638-nucleotide ribosomal RNA is filed under the name Inocybe sp. RNAcentral describes it as "LSU rRNA". It matches the Rfam family "Eukaryotic large subunit ribosomal RNA", at positions 295 to 925 of the family's 3401-position model. The record is from RNAcentral. Lineage: Eukaryota; Fungi; Basidiomycota; Agaricomycetes; Agaricales; Inocybaceae.